This 476-nucleotide ribosomal RNA is filed under the name uncultured bacterium. RNAcentral describes it as "bacterial SSU rRNA". It matches the Rfam family "Bacterial small subunit ribosomal RNA", at positions 32 to 506 of the family's 1533-position model. The record is from RNAcentral.
AUCAACGCUGGCGGCGUGCCUUACACAUGCAAGUCGAACGAGAAAGCCCCGGCUUGCCGGGGUGAGUAAAGUGGCGUACGGGUGAGUAACACGUGGACAACCUGCCAUCGAAUGGGGAAUAGCCCUGGGAAACCGGGGAUAAUACCGCAUAACACUUUAGGGCUUCGGCCCUGGAGUUGAAACCCGCAAGGGGUUUGAUGAGGGGUCCGCGGCCGAUUAGCUAGUUGGUGAGGUAACGGCCCACCAAGGCUAUGAUCGGUAGCCGGCCUGAGAGGGCGGACGGCCACACUGGAACUGCAACACGGUCCAGACUCCUACGGGAGGCAGCAGUGGGGAAUUUUGCGCAAUGGGGGAAACCCUGACGCAGCAACGCCGCGUGGACGAUGAAGCUUCUUGGAGUGUAAAGUCCUUUCGGCAGGGAAGAAUCCCCGCAAGGGGUUGACGGUACCUGAAGAAGAAGCCCCGGCUAACUCCGU